GUAGUCCACGCUGUAAACGAUGAUUACUAGGUGUGGGGGGAUUGACCCCUUCCGUGCCGCAGUUAACACAAUAAGUAAUCCACCUGGGGAGUACGACCGCAAGGUUGAAACUCAAAGGAAUUGACGGGGGCCCGCACAAGCAGUGGAGUAUGUGGUUUAAUUCGAAGCAACGCGAAGAACCUUACCAGGUCUUGACAUCGAGUGACGUAUCCAGAGAUGGAUAUUUCCUUCGGGACACAAAGACAGGUGGUGCAUGGUUGUCGUCAGCUCGUGUCGUGAGAUGUUGGGUUAAGUCCCGCAACGAGCGCAACCCUUAUCAUUAGUUGCUACGCAAGAGCACUCUAAUGAGA
RNAcentral lists this ribosomal RNA (350 nucleotides) under uncultured Oscillospiraceae bacterium. RNAcentral's name for it is "bacterial SSU rRNA". It matches the Rfam family "Bacterial small subunit ribosomal RNA", at positions 790 to 1148 of the family's 1533-position model. The record is from RNAcentral. Lineage: Bacteria; Bacillati; Bacillota; Clostridia; Eubacteriales; Oscillospiraceae.